RNAcentral lists this ribosomal RNA (440 nucleotides) under uncultured bacterium. Its description in RNAcentral is "bacterial SSU rRNA". It matches the Rfam family "Bacterial small subunit ribosomal RNA", at positions 338 to 769 of the family's 1533-position model. The record is from RNAcentral.
CCUACGGGAGGCUGCAGUGGGGAAUAUUGGACAAUGGGCGCAAGCCUGAUCCAGCCAUGCCGAGUGUGUGAAGAAGGCUCUAGGGUUGUAAAGCACUUUCAGUAGGGAGGAAGGCCAGAGGCUUAAUAAGUCUUUGGAUUGACGUUACCUGCAGAAUAAGCACCGGCUAAUUCCGUGCCAGCAGCCGCGGUAAUACGGAAGGUGCAAGCGUUAAUCGGAAUUACUGGGCGUAAAGCGCGCGUAGGUGGUUCAACAAGUCGGUCGUAAAAGUUUAGGGCUCAACCCUAAAAUGUCGAUCGAUACUGUUGUGACUAGGAUACGGUAGAGGUGAAUGGAAUUCCGAGUGUAGCGGUGAAAUGCGUAGAUAUUCGGAGGAACACCAAUUGCGAAGGCAGUUCACUGGACCGUGAUCGACGCUGAGGAGCGAAAGCUAGGGGAGC